RNAcentral lists this ribosomal RNA (825 nucleotides) under uncultured Verrucomicrobiota bacterium. RNAcentral describes it as "bacterial SSU rRNA". It matches the Rfam family "Bacterial small subunit ribosomal RNA", at positions 67 to 868 of the family's 1533-position model. Lineage: Bacteria; Pseudomonadati; Verrucomicrobiota. The record is from RNAcentral.
AUAUUCAGGGUAGCAAUAUUCUGGAUGUUCAGCGGCGCAAGGGUGCGUAACACGUGGGUAAUCUGCCGUGAAGCCUGGAAUAACUCGCUGAAAGGCGAGCUAAUACCGGAUGUGACGUUUGGAAGGCAUCUUUUGAACUUCAAAGCUGGGGACCGUAAGGCCUGGCACUUCACGAUGAGCCCGCGGCCUAUCAGCUAGUUGGUGAGGUAAUGGCUCACCAAGGCUAAGACGGGUAGCUGGUCUGAGAGGACGACCAGCCACACUGGAACUGAGACACGGUCCAGACACCUACGGGUGGCAGCAGUCGAGAAUUUUUCACAAUGGGCGAAAGCCUGAUGGAGCGACGCCGCGUGGGGGAUGAAUGGCUUCGGCCCGUAAACCCCUGUCAUUUGCGAACAAGUUGUUUCACCUAACACGUGAAGCAUUGAUAGUAGCGAAAGAGGAAGGGACGGCUAACUCUGUGCCAGCAGCCGCGGUAAUACAGAGGUCCCAAGCGUUGUUCGGAUUCACUGGGCGUAAAGGGUGCGUAGGCGGUCGGGUAAGUCUGACGUGAAAUCUCCAAGCUCAACUUGGAAAUGGCGUCGGAUACUAUUCGGCUCGAGGAAUGGAGGGGAGACUGGAAUUCUCGGUGUAGCAGUGAAAUGCGUAGAUAUCGAGAGGAACACCAGUGGCGAAGGCGAGUCUCUGGACAUUUCCUGACGCUGAGGCACGAAAGCCAGGGGAGCAAACGGGAUUAGAUACCCCGGUAGUCCUGGCCCUAAACGGUGCACGUUUGCUGUAAGAGGAAUCGACCCCUUUUGUGGCGAAGCUAACGCGUUAAACGUG